Molecule: ribosomal RNA, 460 nt
Filed under: uncultured bacterium
Lineage: Bacteria
Description: partial 16S ribosomal RNA
Rfam family: Bacterial small subunit ribosomal RNA
Source: RNAcentral
CCUACGGGUGGCAGCAGUGAGGAAUAUUGGUCAAUGGACGAGAGUCUGAACCAGCCAAGUAGCGUGAAGGAUGACUGCCCUAUGGGUUGUAAACUUCUUUUAUAUGGGAAUAAAAUGUUCCACGUGUGGGAUUUUGUAUGUACCAUAUGAAUAAGGAUCGGCUAACUCCGUGCCAGCAGCCGCGGUAAUACGGAGGAUCCGAGCGUUAUCCGGAUUUAUUGGGUUUAAAGGGAGCGUAGGUGGAUUGUUAAGUCAGUUGUGAAAGUUUGCGGCUCAACCGUAAAAUUGCAGUUGAAACUGGCAGUCUUGAGUACAGUAGAGGUGGGCGGAAUUCGUGGUGUAGCGGUGAAAUGCUUAGAUAUCACGAAGAACUCCGAUUGCGAAGGUAGUUCACUGGACUGCAACUGACACUGAGGCUCGAAAGUGUGGGUAUCAAACAGGAUUAGAUACCCUUGUAGUC